RNAcentral lists this ribosomal RNA (819 nucleotides) under uncultured bacterium. RNAcentral describes it as "bacterial SSU rRNA". It matches the Rfam family "Bacterial small subunit ribosomal RNA", at positions 8 to 851 of the family's 1533-position model. The record is from RNAcentral.
AGAGUUUGAUCAUGGCUCAGGAUGAACGCUGGCGGCGUGCUUAAUACAUGCAAGUCGAACGGUCUAGCGCAAGCUAGAUAGUGGCGAACGGGUGAGUAACGCGUUGGUGACCUGCCCCGAAGUGUGGGAUAACAGUUCGAAAGGAUUGCUAAUACCGCAUGUGGUUAUUGGGAUUAGAUGCCUGACAACUAAAGGAGUAAUUCGCUUCGGGAGGGACCUGCGUCCCAUCAGCUAGUUGGUAGGGUAACGGCCUACCAAGGCUUCGACGGGUAGGGGACCUGAGAGGGUGGCCCCCCACAAUGGAACUGAAACACGGUCCAUACACCUACGGGUGGCAGCAGUAGGGAAUAUUGGUAAUCUGCGAAAGCGGGAACCAGCAACGCCGCGUGUGCGAUGAAGGCCUUCGGGUCGUAAGCACUUUUUGAGAGGAUGAGGAAGGACAGUACUCUCAGAAUAAGUCUCGGCUAACUACGUGCCAGCAGCCGCGGUAAAACGUAGGAGACGAGCGUUGUCCGGAUUUACUGGGCGUAAAGCGCAUGCAGGCGGUUCGGCAAGUUGGAUGUGAAAGCUCCUGGCUCAACUGGGAGAGGUCGUUCAAUACUACCGAACUUGAGGAUGGUAGAGGGAGGUGGAAUUCCGGGUGUAGUGGUGAAAUGCGUAGAUAUCCGGAGGAACACCAGUGGCGAAAGCGGCCUCCAGGACCAUUUCUGACGCUUAGAUGCGAAAGCUAGGGUAGUAAACGGGAUUAGGGACCCCGGUAAUCCUAGCCGUAAACGAUGUAGACUUGGCGUCGUGGGGUUAAAUCCAUCGGUGCCGCAG